This 960-nucleotide ribosomal RNA is filed under the name human gut metagenome. RNAcentral describes it as "bacterial SSU rRNA". It matches the Rfam family "Bacterial small subunit ribosomal RNA", at positions 399 to 1361 of the family's 1533-position model. The record is from RNAcentral.
GCGUGAGGGAAGAAUGGUCUAUGGCCUGUAAACCUCUUUUGUCAAGGAAGAAUAGACGGCACGCGUGCUGUUUUGCCAGUACCUGACGAAUAAGCAUCGGCUAACUCCGUGCCAGCAGCCGCGGUAAUACGGGGGAUGCGAGCGUUAUCCGGAUUUAUUGGGUUUAAAGGGCGCGUAGGCGGGACGCCAAGUCAGCGGUAAAAGACUGCAGCUAAACUGUAGCACGCCGUUGAAACUGGCGACCUGGAGACGAGACGAGGGAGGCGGAACAAGUGAAGUAGCGGUGAAAUGCUUAGAUAUCACUUGGAACCCCGAUAGCGAAGGCAGCUUCCCAGGCUCGAUCUGACGCUGAUGCGCGAGAGCGUGGGUAGCGAACAGGAUUAGAUACCCUGGUAGUCCACGCCGUAAACGAUGCUCACUGGAUCUUGGCGAUACACUGCCAGGGUUCAAGCGAAAGUAUUAAGUGAGCCACCUGGGGAGUACGUCGGCAACGAUGAAACUCAAAGGAAUUGACGGGGGCCCGCACAAGCGGAGGAACAUGUGGUUUAAUUCGAUGAUACGCGAGGAACCUUACCCGGGUUUAAAUGUAGAUUGCAUGAGGUGGAAACACUUCUUCCCUUCGGGGCUAUUUACAAGGUGCUGCAUGGUUGUCGUCAGCUCGUGCCGUGAGGUGUCGGGUUAAGUCCCAUAACGAGCGCAACCCCUAUCGCCAGUUGCCAGCGGCUGAGGCCGGGCACUCUGUCGAGACUGCCACCGUAAGGUGCGAGGAAGGCGGGGAUGACGUCAAAUCAGCACGGCCCUUACACCCGGGGCGACACACGUGUUACAAUGGCCGGUACAGAGGGCAGCCACGGGGUGACCCGGAGCGAAUCUCUAAAGCCGGUCGUAGUUCGGACUGGAGUCUGCAACCCGACUCCACGAAGCUGGAUUCGCUAGUAAUCGCGCAUCAGCCAUGGCGCG